This 472-nucleotide ribosomal RNA is filed under the name uncultured bacterium. RNAcentral describes it as "bacterial SSU rRNA". It matches the Rfam family "Bacterial small subunit ribosomal RNA", at positions 8 to 468 of the family's 1533-position model. The record is from RNAcentral.
AGAGUUUGAUCCUGGCUCAGGACGUACGCUGGCGGCGUGCCUAAUACAUGCAAGUCGAGCGGACCUCAUAGGAAGCUUGCUUUUUAUGAGGUUAGCGGCGGACGGGUGAGUAACACGUGGGUAACCUGCCCUAUAGACCGGGAUAACCCGCGGAAACGCGUGCUAAUACCGGAUAACACAGCGGAGCGCAUGCUCCGGUGUUGAAAGGUGGUUCUGCUACCGCUAUAGGAUGGGCCCGCGGCGCAUUAGCUGGUUGGUGGGGUAACGGCCUACCAAGGCGACGAUGCGUAGCCGACCUGAGAGGGUGAUCGGCCACACUGGGACUGAGACACGGCCCAGACUCCUACGGGAGGCAGCAGUAGGGAAUCUUCCACAAUGGGCGAAAGCCUGAUGGAGCAACGCCGCGUGAGCGAAGAAGGUCUUCGGAUCGUAAAGCUCUGUUGUAAGGGAAGAACAAGUGCGGUAGUAACUG